AGUCGAGCGGAGUUAAGCCCUGUCUUAGUUGGUCUUAGUGCGUGGUUAAUUGAAGUCUUUCGGGCGCGCGAGUGUUUACGGACAUAUUUAAAAACCGAACAAAUUUUUAUAUGUGCUUUUUUGGCAAUUGGUAAUGGCAUAAAUUACUCCGGAGUUUGCGUCGCUGUGUGUUUGCUCACUCUACGAUGGGAAACAUAACCUCCAAAUGACAGUUUCCUUAAUGUACUGGACUAUAUAAACAAUUUAUUUCCCAUGGAACAGUCACUGUCAAAUAUCAAUGAAGUGGAUCAUCUGUGCUAUCUGGGCGUUUAUCUACCUACCAAAGUUUGAAUUGCAAGCCUAAUAUAUGAUCAACUGGAACCUGUGGUACCAUGGCGAUCGAAUUAAAGUGAUACUAAUUGUAAGUGAAGACCGUGAAGCUGUUGGCACUUCACUUUCGAUCAUUUGCAUAUGCUAGUGGAAGGAGUAGAUAAUCUAAAAAUAUUAACACAAGAAAACAACAUGGAAAAAUUAUUGUACCAUUGCAAGGAGUGAUGCAAAUGAUUUUAACAGUUAUAUGGACAUGUCACAAGUGAAGCAAUUAUCUGAUCAAGGUUCAUCAGAUUCAGCAUAUGUUGGCCUAGCGGAUUUCAAACAGGCCUUUUCGAGUCAAAAUCCAAAAUAUUUCAACCAGUUAACGGAGGGAUGUUUAGUGUUAUCAGAAUUGCAUCCUAAAGUAAAACUCUACAUUAUCGACUCCGAGCAGGUUUGAGAGGCAGUCCAGCAUUCCCUUAAUUUAUGUACAAUUAUAGGAUGACACAGGACUGUCAUUUCUGACCCCAGUGCAGCGUAAGUACACAAGCAACGCGCCGUGUUGUAUGUGGUUGUAUACGCUGAAUGCACAUAUUAGACUUGACGCCCUUUUAUUCGGAAGCGACAAUAUUAUGAAGUUAAUUCUAUUUUUCAGGAUUUCUAUAGUGCAUGUAACGUAUUCUAUAUACAAAGCCGAAAUGCAGCUAACUUUAUAUGGCCAGACAUUCCGCGUGUAUAUACGUCUCAUCUGAACGAUUCGCGUGAAUGUUACAUCAUACAGAUUUUGUAUGGAUAUUCUUUUCUUGCAACGUCCUUUAGUAAAAGUCUGCUACAUGAUAUUUGAUAAAAGUACAUACAUUUUAUUGUAAUAAAAAUAUAAAAAUAAAUUCAUUUUUUAAUAACU
This 1195-nucleotide unclassified non-coding RNA is filed under the name Monomorium pharaonis (pharaoh ant). RNAcentral describes it as "uncharacterized LOC114255117, transcript variant X3". Lineage: Eukaryota; Metazoa; Arthropoda; Insecta; Hymenoptera; Formicidae. The record is from RNAcentral.